Long non-coding RNA from Tyto alba (common barn owl), 1725 nucleotides. RefSeq lists it as uncharacterized. NCBI's taxonomy places the organism in Eukaryota, Metazoa, Chordata, Aves, Strigiformes, Tytonidae. The transcript is spliced from 2 exons. The record is from RefSeq and is a predicted model, not a curated record.
GGGACUGGUGGGGAUGGAUGCCACCUCGCCCCCCCCCCCGUCCUCCCAGAUUCCCCCCGGAAGCCUCCCGCACCUUUUGCAGGCCUGGCUCGCGGGGCACGUGACCCCAAAUCUCCAUCCUCUCGUGCAGCUGCGGAGACGGAAGCCGCCGGCAUCGCCCUCCGCCUCCCGCCCCCGGCUCGCGUCCCCGUGCGCGCGCACCCCUCGCCCCCUUUGCCCCGCUCUGGCCGGGCCUCGGCUCCUGGGCGGCUGGCUUGGGAGGACCGGGAUUUUUUUCGGUCAUGUGCGACAAGUGGGCAGCAUCCAGAGAGAAGGGGAACGUGAGCGGUUACUCCCAGCUCACGCGGCAGCCCGGAAAACCAGUUGUUUUAAUCUAGCCAGGAGGGUCCGCAACUACUGCAGCAAACGGAUCUUGUCUUUUAACGAGCAAAUGGUAAUGUGGGUCUGAGAAGUCUAUAAUCGAGAAAAUUACUUUGGCAUCAGAGUUGGCUGCAAUUCCCUUAAAAACUGUCAAGAUUAAAAGAGGACUUCAAACCAAAAGUGGAUUUUUCUCAUGGCAGUCCUAUUGUGUCAUGGAAGGUCCCUAAACUACGCUCGGGCAGGGACAGACAGCACCUUUGUCCUUGCUAUUCAGUAACGAUUUUGAAAUGGAUUUAACUGAAGAUUAGUUUCUAUGUAUGGAUGCAAAUUAUUCUAUAAAACAAUUUAAUGAGGUUUUUGUCUCAAAGAAGGUGAGGAAUUUCUUUUCUAUUCAAAAAUCUCUACUCUCCUGAAGGCUGAAUUACUGUCUUGCUCUUCUUUUACCAAGCAAAAUCCACUUCGAGCAACGCUCGAUAUCUCGACCGGUACUUGUUUCAUCAGCGACAUUUAUCAGGUCUUCUGGAAUAAAUCUACUCCCGGUCAAAGCAGAUUAAGACAAGUCUAAUUCCACCACGCUCUGUAACAAAAGACUCUUUCAAAAAUACACACACACCCAUCGGUUGCACAAGAUGAGCUCAGCUGGCUCUCAGCAGCCUUAUGCUCUCAAAGCGCUUCCAUGCAAGUUCCUGGUAAACUAUUGCUACAUCUGCAAAUUGUAAUUAUUAAUGCUGCAGACCUUGAGCAUUUGGGUUUUGGCCCAAACACUACGUAACAUCCGCGGUGACCAAAACCCCGUGAGGCAUCUUCAGCCUAAGAAAGUUCUUCCUGGGCAGGGUGGUGACCAGAAGGGCUUCUCACCUCUUCUCCUGAUGGGGAACCCAGCGCAGCCCCUACAGACGGCAACAAACUGGGGAAAAGGGGGGUCAGCCGGGAAGGCGCUGCAGGGCUGUGGUGCCCAGGCGGUCUCAGCCUGCUCUGGCCGAGCUGUAAUUCAGCACAACCCACCAACCUGUGGAGCUGGGGAAAGCUGCAAGGCGGGCCGGGAGGAGGAUGCCUCAGCGCCCUGAGCGCUGCCCUCCCAGGUUUUUAUUGCACCACGUCCAUUUGCUGGGGUGUAUCAAUAAUGCCAACUAGCGGCCAAUAUUAGCAACAUUCGUCCUGAAACCUCACUUACAUACACCUGCAGAUAGGGAGAGGUGCUUACCUUGGUAUCUCAGACAGCUGCAAAAAUAAGAAAUAAAAUGCAUUUGUUUCCAAAACCUCUGCUUUUUCCCCUGCUUCAGAACACAGCUUGGACAAGUAUUGUGGAAUUAAAGCUGAUCAGUCUUGGUUUAGGUUAUACCAAUAUACUUGAUUUCCAAAAGA